This 1994-nucleotide ribosomal RNA is filed under the name Triticum aestivum (bread wheat). RNAcentral describes it as "partial small subunit ribosomal RNA". The record is from RNAcentral. Lineage: Eukaryota; Viridiplantae; Streptophyta; Magnoliopsida; Poales; Poaceae.
CCUGCGCGCUACGUGCGUGAGUGCGAGAGGAGGUCUGGCCAGGCCAGGUCUAUUUGCCUCGCUUUUUUCGCCGCCCUAUUUUUCCUCUCGGCCGGCCGGUCGAGAUCAGAUCCCUGUUUUCUUUCUUCUUUCGGAUAUUUCCGCGUCGCACGUUCCUCGAGCUCCGUGGGUGCGGUGCGAGCGCGAGUUUCGGACCAGCCAUUGUCUCGGUUCCACGGUAAAGAGCUGGAGGGCGAACCAAGACCUCGAGUAGUAGUAGCGGGGAGCCGGAGGAUUCGGAGCGAAGUUGACAGACGAGAGGAGUCAAGCAGAGGACGCUUACGUGCGAGCGAUCGGUAAGAAGACAGAGAUCGCUAGGUCGGUGCUCGACGAAGGCAUAGGAAGUACAAAUGAAGGAAUGACAGAACAGAACAGCUGCGUUUUGGAAGACAGAAGGAGCGAUCUUUCAUCUUUGCCCAACUAAACUAGAGUUCAAGGGCCAAGGGGAACGAGAGAGAAGGCGUACAAGCGAAACUGGAGUUGUAUGCGAAGGGCAACCAGAGCGUGAAAAGCGAUCCGAUUGACCACAUCGUAAACCUCAGAGCCUCUGGAACUUAACCGAGCGGUUCUUGUUCAGGAUACCUUCUUUCGAGGUACUUUUCUCUUCGGUACGGAGCUGAGGACCUAGAGUAGGGCCUGCUCUUUCUUACCUCGGACUCUCCUCCUCGUGGUUCCGUCCCGUCUAGCUUUUUGUGUCCCAAGCCCUCGCUGCUCCUGCUCUUUGACCUCGACUUCGAACCGGAAGGACCGGAGCAUGUUCUUCUCGGUCGCCGGUCGAGUUCUCUCUUCUCCCACGUAGUCCUCUCGGGCCGGGAGAGGGAACCCAUGGGGGGAUUUGUGAGGUGCCGGUGGUGGCCUCGUUUCUCCCCUAAGGACCUGUGCCAACUCCGGUUUCGUGUUCCAAUACUCUUCCUCGUCCGCUCUCGUCGUCGCACACCCUUCCUUGACCGUCACCUCCUUUUAUGUCGCCGGCAGCCACUCUCCUUCUUUCCCACGACAGGGGGUGGUGGUGGUCGUGUACGGGGAGGACGAUGUGGACGCGCGUUGUAGCCGUUGUCUGGCGUCCGCGCCCCUUCUCCCCGACGUCGAGGUCACCAGCCGACCGGAGGUUAGGCCAGUAAGUCCUCUUUGGAACGUUCGUGAUCACGUAGGUUUGUCGGGGGACUUGGCGUUUAGCCACUUCGGCUACGGUUCCGGCACGAACUGACGUUCUUUUCGGGAGAACAUUUUUAGUUGUACCUACCCUAGGGGUAACCUUCCUUUCAACUAGAACGUCGUACACUGUCGAUGCUCUCUGAAAGUAACCGACAGUUUCUAGAGAAGGUGCCCAAAGAAGUUCACGUUUCCCUGGGCAGAUUCCAACUUGCAUGUGUCGUUCCUCGUCUACUUUUUUAUAAAAGCGUCAACGAUCUGCCCAGGCCACUUAUAUGAGAUCAAAUGCUUCUGCCACUUCCUCUGUCCUACGACCAACCCCUACAGGGAACCUUACACAAACAGAGUUGGCGAUUUUCCGACUCCCAAGACUCUUCGAGUCUCGAAAGGGUACCAGACUAACCUCGAUGAGGACUCUCUCGUCGUUUACCGACUUUACCACUGUGGAAAGUUUGGUAAACCUUACAACGAGUGACUUCGGCGUUUGAUUUUCUUGAGGAUUCUUCGUCCCCUCUGGAUUUAGGACACCAGUCAAACCUCUAGCAAUAGGAAAAACUCCUAAUCAUCAAGUCAUGGGAAAAAAAAAGAACAUCACUCUACUUAAUCGUAUGGCGUCUACGUACCUCUAUAGGACGGAUAAAACAUUUAAUCCGAUGGAACAUAAAUUGCGAUAUCAAGAACUAAGUCAAUGUAUCUAAACCGCGGAUAAAAGAGACUGUUUAAACAUUGGACUGUACGUUUAGACAAGUACUGUUUUCUCCUGGUCGUGGACCGGACAGGACUAUCGUAGUGUGGUGGCUUGC